GCGGGUCAUCCGCUCUGCAGAGAGGGUGAUCGGCUGCAAUCUGCCGUCCCUGCAGGACCUGUUCGCUUCCAGGUCUCUGAAGCAGCUAAAAAGAUUGCGGCCGACCCCUCCCACUCCGGACAAAACCUGUUUGUGCCCCUUCCAUCUGGCAGGAGGCUGAGGUCCAUCAGGACUACGACGUCCCGCCACACGAACAGUUUCUUCCCGUCGGCAGUCGGGCUCAUCAACAGAGCCGGUCCCCCACUGCCUGACUAUAACACUCCACCGGUCACUCCCCCUCAUACUGCACAUGCCACUUUAACUGCAAUUCAUCACUUUGUCACUUGUCACUUUGUCUCUUGUCUGUUACUUGUUCGUUAGUGCACUUUAUGCUUAAUAUUUUUCUUUUUAACUUUUUAAUAUUUAAUUUUUUUUAACUUUAUUCCCUUGUUUUAUACUAACUCAUAGCCUUAGCCUUAUUCUACUAACCCAUUGCAUUAGCAUUUCAUUCCACUUUAUUUUAUUACUUGUGCACUGUGACAAUAAAUAUUGUUCAUUCAGUGUGAGUUUAUAAAUCAUACUCAAAUCAUUAGUUGUGUAUUGGUUAAAAGCAGAUGUUUUGAUUUAAUCACACAUAAUAGUCACAUUAUGAUCUUCUGGAUGACAUUUAAGAUGUCAUCGUCUAUGAUGAAAAUAACUCUGGUCUUGUUUGGUUUUUGUAGCGUAGCAGCAGCAGCAAGCCAGAGGAACCAGAGGCCAUGUUGGACCUGAUUCUUGAGAGUCAGGGUCAGAGACUGGAGGACCAGAGAGCCAGCUUCAACCUGUUACCUGACCCAGGGUCAGCCUCUCUCUGUGGAGCCUGCAGCCCCCCCUUAACUUCACCCAGUGUGGGCUUCUACUACAUGCUAAUACACUACCAGUCUAACAGGAUGGAGGACCAGAGGUGUUCCCUUCCAGAUCUGGAUGAAGCUGCUGGUGAAGGUCAGCAGGACUUCUUUGGGUUGAUUCAGAGAGUUCAGUCCAGGAGGAUGGACGAACAGAGAGCCUCUCUGCUGCCGACACAUACUGACGACGACCAUGACGUCAUUAACGCAGGCCCCUCCCCCAAUCCCCCAAAUCAUCAGUGAUGAGUACCAGAGUCUUAUAGGGUUCUUCAGAACCACUCUUCUAGAGCUCCACAAAGACUAGAAUUAUCCUGAUGUUAAGACGGUUGGGACGGAUCCAGGUUCAGGUCUUUAGGAUCCAGAUGUGUUGACGACUGAUAUUAGAUUACAGACCAGAUGAAUGUGCUUCUCUGAGUAGUUAGUGGUUGGUAGAGCUGGUUAUUAGAGCUGUGGAUGAAUGUUUCUCUUUGUUAACAAAAGAGGUAAAGAAGAAGAAUGUUAUCUGAUAAAUAUGGACGUAACAAAACAAUCUAAGAUAUUUAAUGAUCAUCUUUACUAAUACAUAAGGAAACUUGUUUAAACUGGUUUGUUUUAUUAUGGGAAUGAUGGGAACAUAGUCCUUCAAAAAAACUUUUAAGAUUUAUCUCAGUUUUCCCUUUUUAGGAAUUCAGACAUAGGAUUCAGGUACAGACCAGGACCAAGUCCUGAACUGGCCCCAAAUCUAAUCAAAGUUCCUGAACCAAGUCCAGACCAGGUCUUGGCCCUGUGUUCUCAACCUAAAACUUCUGUCCUGUAAAGUCAAUAAAUCACAGUUGGAAAUUUUAAACUGUAAGACUCAUUGUAGCAUGUGACAGAUAUUAAAAUAUAUUUAUGGAACAAAUAUCAAUUUCCGUUUUUAUUUUUCAUUCAUUAUAAUUCUUACAAUAAUUGAAACACUUUCAUUCAUGAG
Molecule: long non-coding RNA, 1812 nt
Organism: Gasterosteus aculeatus aculeatus (three-spined stickleback)
Lineage: Eukaryota; Metazoa; Chordata; Actinopteri; Perciformes; Gasterosteidae
Source: Ensembl